UACGGGGGGGGCAAGCGUUGUUCGGAAUUACUGGGCGUAAAGGGCUCGUAGGCGGCCAACUAAGUCGGAUGUGAAAUCCCCAGGCUCAACCUGGGAACUGCAUCCGAUACUGGAUGGCUUGAAUCCGGGAGAGGGAUGCAGAAUUCCAGGUGUAGCGGUGAAAUGCGUAGAUAUUGGGAGGAACACCAGUGGCGAAGGCGGCUCACUGGACCGGAACUGACGCUGAGGCGCGAAAGCGUGGGGAGCAAACAGGG
RNAcentral lists this ribosomal RNA (254 nucleotides) under uncultured bacterium. Its description in RNAcentral is "partial 16S ribosomal RNA". It matches the Rfam family "Bacterial small subunit ribosomal RNA", at positions 524 to 777 of the family's 1533-position model. The record is from RNAcentral.